RNAcentral lists this ribosomal RNA (466 nucleotides) under uncultured bacterium. Its description in RNAcentral is "partial 16S ribosomal RNA". It matches the Rfam family "Bacterial small subunit ribosomal RNA", at positions 28 to 507 of the family's 1533-position model. The record is from RNAcentral.
GACGAACGCUGGCGGCGCGCCUAACACAUGCAAGUCGAACGAGCGAGUGGGAGCUUGCUUUCUCGAGCGAGUGGCGAACGGGUGAGUAACGCGUGAGGAACCUGCCUCAAAGAGGGGGACAACAGUUGGAAACGACUGCUAAUACCGCAUAAGCCCACGUUGCCGCAUGGCACAGAGGGAAAAGGAGCAAUCCGCUUUGAGAUGGCCUCGCGUCCGCUUAGCUAGUUGGUGAGGUAAUGGCCCACCAAGGCGACGACCGGUAGCCGGACUGAGAGGUUGAACGGCCACAUUGGGACUGAGACACGGCCCAGACUCCUACGGGAGGCAGCAGUGGGGAAUAGUGCACAAUGGGGGAAACCCUGAUGCAGCGACGCCGCGUGGAGGAAGAAGGUAGUCGGAUUGUAAACUCCUGUUGUUGGGGAAGAUAAUGACGGUACCCAACAAGGAAGUGACGGCUAACUACGUG